UUUAGAUUUAAUUAAAAUUCAGAAUAAAAGUAGUUAAGUUCUUCAUAACUCAAAGAAUUUGGCGGUUAAUAAAAGUUUCAGAGGAACCUGUAUAUUAAUUGAUAAACCACGAUAGUUAUUACCUUUUUUUUAUUUGUAUAUCUCUAUAUUAUGGAGUGUUUUUUAAGAAUUUAUUCUCUUUUAGAUUUAAUCAUUAAUUUUAGGUCAAGGUGCAGUUUUAAUAAGGUUUAUAUGGGUUACUUUAUUUUUUAAUAUUAAUUUUUUUAAUUUAUUAAGAUUUAUUUAUAAUAGGAUUUGAUAGUAAUUUAAAUUUAUUAAUUUUUUUGAAUAUUUUUUUAUUAAUGU
Molecule: ribosomal RNA, 345 nt
Filed under: Enchenopa binotata
Lineage: Eukaryota; Metazoa; Arthropoda; Insecta; Hemiptera; Membracidae
Description: partial 12S small subunit ribosomal RNA
Source: RNAcentral